Molecule: long non-coding RNA, 231 nt
Filed under: Lathyrus oleraceus (garden pea)
Lineage: Eukaryota; Viridiplantae; Streptophyta; Magnoliopsida; Fabales; Fabaceae
Description: Pisum sativum (pea) long non-coding RNA (PSAT_LNC035451)
Source: RNAcentral
CACAUGCUCGCUAGGAUGUCGCAUCCUAUGCAUACGUAUCUUCUCGGACGAGAGAAGAAUCAGAGCAUUCGUAGCUCGGCUGACACGCACACAAACAAAAACAGCAAAGGCAAACAUGAGCCCGACUGCCAAUCACUGGACUUAUGUCAGCAUCCGAACCUAAACACACACAAGAAGGCAAACAUGGAGCCUGAAUGCCAAUUGCUGGACUUACAUCAGCAUCCGAACCAA